RNAcentral lists this ribosomal RNA (253 nucleotides) under uncultured prokaryote. Its description in RNAcentral is "partial 16S ribosomal RNA". It matches the Rfam family "Bacterial small subunit ribosomal RNA", at positions 524 to 777 of the family's 1533-position model. The record is from RNAcentral.
CACGUAGGGGCGAGCGUUAUCCGGAUUUAUUGGGUUUAAAGGGUGCGCAGGUUGUUUGAUAUGUCAGUGGUGAAAGUCUGUCGCUUAACGGUAGGAUUGCCAUUGAUACUGUUGGACUUGAAUAUGGAUGAGGUAGGCGGAAUGUGUAGUGUAGCGGUGAAAUGCAUAGAUAUUACACAGAACACCGAUUGCGAAGGCAGCUUACUAAUCCAUCAUUGACGCUGAGGCACGAAAGCGUGGGGAUCAAACAGGA